GAGUUUGAUCCUGGCUCAGGAUGAACGCUGGCGGCGUGCCUAAUACAUGCAAGUCGAGCGAACAGAUAAGGAGCUUGCUCCUUUGACGUUAGCGGCGGACGGGUGAGUAACACGUGGGUAACCUACCUAUAAGACUGGAAUAACUCCGGGAAACCGGGGCUAAUGCCGGAUAAUAUUUAGAACCGCAUGGUUCUAAAGUGAAAGAUGGUUUUGCUAUCACUUAUAGAUGGACCCGCGCCGUAUUAGCUAGUUGGUGGGGUAAUGGCUUACCAAGGCAACGAUACGUAGCCGACCUGAGAGGGUGAUCGGCCACACUGGAACUGAGACACGGUCCAGACUCCUACGGGAGGCAGCAGUAGGGAAUCUUCCGCAAUGGGCGAAAGCCUGACGGAGCAACGCCGCGUGAGUGAUGAAGGUCUUCGGAUCGUAAAACUCUGUUAUUAGGGAAGAACAAAUGUGUAAGUAACUGUGCACGUCUUGACGGUACCUAAUCAGAAAGCCACGGCUAACUACGUGCCAGCAGCCGCGGUAA
RNAcentral lists this ribosomal RNA (532 nucleotides) under uncultured bacterium. RNAcentral describes it as "bacterial SSU rRNA". It matches the Rfam family "Bacterial small subunit ribosomal RNA", at positions 9 to 523 of the family's 1533-position model. The record is from RNAcentral.